This 468-nucleotide ribosomal RNA is filed under the name uncultured bacterium. Its description in RNAcentral is "partial 16S ribosomal RNA". It matches the Rfam family "Bacterial small subunit ribosomal RNA", at positions 28 to 507 of the family's 1533-position model. The record is from RNAcentral.
GACGAACGCUGGCGGCGUGCUUAACACAUGCAAGUCGAACGGAAAGGCCCUGCUUUUGUGGGGUGCUCGAGUGGCGAACGGGUGAGUAACACGUGAGUAACCUGUCCUUGACUUUGGGAUAACUUCAGGAAACUGGGGUUCAUACCGGAUAGGAGCUCCUGCUGCAUGGUGGGGGUUGGAAAGUUUCGGCGGUUGGGGAUGGACUCGCGGCUUAUCAGCUUGUUGGUGGGGUAGUGGCUUACCAAGGCUUUGACGGGUAGCCGGCCUGAGAGGGUGACCGGCCACAUUGGGACUGAGAUACGACCCAGACUCCUACGGGAGGCAGCAGUGGGAAAUAUUGCGCGAUGGGCGGAAGCCUGAUACAGCAACGCCGCGUGCGGGAUGACUGCCUUCGGGUUAUAAACCGCUUUCGCCUGUGACGAAGCGUGAGUGACGGUAAUGGGUAAAGAAGCACCGGCUAACUACGUG